RNAcentral lists this transfer RNA (72 nucleotides) under Marmota monax (woodchuck). Its description in RNAcentral is "tRNA.Ala". The record is from RNAcentral. Lineage: Eukaryota; Metazoa; Chordata; Mammalia; Rodentia; Sciuridae.
AGGAAUGUAGCUCAGUGGUAGAGAGCUUGCCUAGCAUAUGCAAGCCCCUGGAUUCGAUUCCCAGCACUGCAA